CCGAGUUUACAACUCCCAAACCCAAUGUGAACCAUACCAAACUGUUGCCUCGGCGGGGUCACGCCCCGGGUGCGUCGCAGCCCCGGAACCAGGCGCCCGCCGGAGGGACCAACCAAACUCUUUUCUGUAGUCCCCUCGCGGACGUUAUUUCUUACAGCUCUGAGCAAAAAUUCAAAAUGAAUCAAAACUUUCAACAACGGAUCUCUUGGUUCUGGCAUCGAUGAAGAACGCAGCGAAAUGCGAUAAGUAAUGUGAAUUGCAGAAUUCAGUGAAUCAUCGAAUCUUUGAACGCACAUUGCGCCCGCCAGUAUUCUGGCGGGCAUGCCUGUCCGAGCGUCAUUUCAACCCUCGAACCCCUCCGGGGGGUCGGCGUUGGGGACCUCGGGAGCCCCUAAGACGGGAUCCCGGCCCCGAAAUACAGUGGCGGUCUCGCCGCAGCCUCUCCUGCGCAGUAGUUUGCACAACUCGCACCGGGAGCGCGGCGCGUCCACGUCCGUAAAACACCCAACUUUCUGAAAUGUUGACCUCGGAUCAGGUAGGAAUACCCGCUGAACUUAAGCAUAUCAAAA
Molecule: ribosomal RNA, 569 nt
Filed under: Trichoderma atroviride
Lineage: Eukaryota; Fungi; Ascomycota; Sordariomycetes; Hypocreales; Hypocreaceae
Description: eukaryotic LSU rRNA
Rfam family: 5.8S ribosomal RNA (bases 186-339)
Source: RNAcentral